AUACAUUUAAAAAUUUUCUUUCCAGAGCCACACAUCAGGCAGUGAAGCAUGGGCUGCUGGUUAAAGCACUAAUCUUGGCUGCGGAGCGGAAAUCAAUGCCAAUGACAAAUGGCCAGUAGUUGACAGUUUAAAAUCUAGCAAAUGAAAGCAAAUGAAGUUAACGAAGUUGUUUUACAGUACUGUGCAUCUACAGAAGAAGCAGUUCUAAACUAUCUUCUUCAAGAGCAUACAAGGCUUUCCUUUUGCUUCAGAGAAAAGAGUUGUCAUAAAAAUCAGUCCUAUAUGUCCAUGGAUGCCUCAUGGUGGAAUUCAUUUAUGAGGACAAAAGUCCUGCAUACAAAGAGCAUGAAUAGCUGUAACUACAGAACUAUGGACCAUGAAUAGCUGUAACUCCUGGAAUUUCAUCAGUGUAAGGAAAAAGCUGUGCAGCUGGUGAUGUCACAGUGCUAGAAGAUAGAGAACUUCACCCAGUUUCAGCAAAGUUACUCAUGUGGCCGGCACUAUCCUGAACAAAGAUGAAGUUCUGGUCUCCUGAAAACAAGACUUACUGUGUCUAGAGAGACAAUGUGGUGGCUACUGCAUCGGUUUGUCUGUGGACACAUGUUAAUUUUCAGUAUUACAGCUGAACUGAACAGAGUGUGAGGACAGCUGUGGACUAAAGAUAUAUGAGGGCUGCUCUGAAAGUAAUGCCUCCUAUCUUAUUACACUAGCCCAAGACAUCAGAGGCAGACGUUGGUGGGAUGGCAUUAGAGGCUGAACCUGCACAUCAGUAUUCUGUUACAUUGUGUUGUCGUGUGACAGGUGGCAGCAGAGGGGCAGCCUGACACAAUGGCAUCUGCCAUGGAAGUGUGUAUGAAGCAAAGGUGUGUCAGUGCGUUCUGCCAUGCAGAAAAGAGGGCACCCAGUGACAAUCAUUGUCAUUCUUGUUCGUCACUGGUGAAAAUACGCAGCUACUGGUGGUGACUAUGUUGGAAAAUAGUGUUUUGUGGCUGAGAAUUUGCUCUAUCAAUUAGUGUUACUGUGAUCUUUGUAUCUAUUCUGGUUUCCAUGGAAAUAAACAUGAAGCAUUACUUUUGGAGCA
This 1081-nucleotide long non-coding RNA is filed under the name Phasianus colchicus (ring-necked pheasant). Its description in RNAcentral is "lncRNA (ENSPCLG00000008817.1)". Lineage: Eukaryota; Metazoa; Chordata; Aves; Galliformes; Phasianidae. The record is from RNAcentral.